ACUCCUACGGGAGGCAGCAGUGGGAAUCUUGGGACAAUGGGGGCAACCCUGAUCCAGCCAUGCCGCGUGAGUGAUGAAGGCCUUAGGGUCGUAAAGCUCUUUCGCCUGUGAUGAUAAUGACAGUAGCAGGUAAAGAAACCCGCGUACAUCCGUGCCAGCAGCCGCGGUAAUACGGAGGGGGUUAGCGUUGUUCGGAAUUACUGGGCGUAAAGCGCGCGUAGGCGGAUUAGUCAGUUAGAGGUGAAAUCCCAGGGCUCAACCCUGGAACUGCCUUUAAUACUGCUAGUCUUGAGUUCGAGAGAGGUGAGUGGAAUUCCGAGUGUAG
Molecule: ribosomal RNA, 325 nt
Filed under: uncultured bacterium
Lineage: Bacteria
Description: bacterial SSU rRNA
Rfam family: Bacterial small subunit ribosomal RNA
Source: RNAcentral